CCUACGGGUGCAGCAGUGAGGAAUAUUGGUCAAUGGGCGCGAGCCUGAACCAGCCAAGUCGCGUGAGGGAGGACGGCCCUACGGGUUGUAACCCUCUUUUGCCGGGGAGCAACGGGCGUCACGUGUGGCGCCCCUGAGUGUACCCGGAGAAAAAGCAUCGGCAAACUCCGGGCCAGCAGCCGCGGUAAUACGGAGGAUGCGAGCGUUAUCCGGAUUUAUUGGGUUUAAGGGGUGCGUAGGCGGAUCGUUCAGUCAGUGGGCAAAUGGAGGGGCUCAACCCCUUCCCGCCAUUGAAACUGGCGCUCUGGAGUGGAAGAGAAGUAGGCGGAAUGCGUGGUGUAGCGGUGAAAUG
This 352-nucleotide ribosomal RNA is filed under the name uncultured bacterium. RNAcentral's name for it is "partial 16S ribosomal RNA". It matches the Rfam family "Bacterial small subunit ribosomal RNA", at positions 338 to 688 of the family's 1533-position model. The record is from RNAcentral.